GGAGAUAUGGCUCAGAGGUUAAGAGCACUGUCUGCUCUUCCAGAGGUCCUGAGUUCAAUUCUCAGCAACCACA
Molecule: non-coding RNA, 73 nt
Organism: Rattus norvegicus (Norway rat)
Lineage: Eukaryota; Metazoa; Chordata; Mammalia; Rodentia; Muridae
Source: Rfam